Molecule: ribosomal RNA, 301 nt
Filed under: uncultured bacterium
Lineage: Bacteria
Description: partial 16S ribosomal RNA
Rfam family: Bacterial small subunit ribosomal RNA
Source: RNAcentral
CAGCAGCCACGGUAAUACGGAGGGAGCUAGCGUUAUUCGGAAUUACUGGGCGUAAAGCGCACGUAGGCGGCUUUGUAAGUUAGAGGUGAAAGCCUGGAGCUCAACUCCAGAAUUGCCUUUAAGACUGCAUCGCUUGAGUCCAGGAGAGGUGAGUGGAAUUCCGAGUGUAGAGGUGAAAUUCGUAGAUAUUCGGGAGAACACCAGUGGCGAAGGCGGCUCACUGGACUGGUAUUGACGCUGAGGUGCGAAAGCGUGGGGAGCAAACAGGAUUAGAUACCCGGGUAGUCCCUGUCUCUUAUAA